GGCGGUAGGGAGGGGACGCCACCGCCCUCGUCGGCCCUCUUCCCAGCUGCCGUCGUCCAGCCGCCGCCCUCGACAGCCCUCCUCCCAUCCGUGUCUUUCUCCACCUUGGCCCUCCUCCCAGCCGCCGCAUUUGACCCUCCUCCAGCCGCUGCUCAGCCCGCCCUCCCCUGCUCCCAUCCAUGGCCGGGCCUCUUCUCUCUACCACAAAGGACGCCGCCGCCCUCGUCCAGUCAUCGCCCUCAUCAGCCCACCUCCCAACCGCCCUCAUCGGCCCUCCCAACCGAGCCUCUCUCCACCUCGGCCCUCCUCCCAACCGCCCACGUCGGCCCUCCUCCAGCCACCGUAUUAGACCCUCCUCCCAGCACGCCCUCCCCUGUUCCCAGUCGCUCCUAUCAAUGGACGGGCCUCCCCUCCCUGCCGCCGCCCUUGUUGGCCCUCUUCCUAUCCGCCCUCCUCCCAGCCGUCGCCCUCGGCCCUCAUCUCAGCUGCCCUCAGCCCUCCUCCUAGCCGC
RNAcentral lists this unclassified non-coding RNA (511 nucleotides) under Zea mays. Its description in RNAcentral is "misc RNA Zm00001eb166350". Lineage: Eukaryota; Viridiplantae; Streptophyta; Magnoliopsida; Poales; Poaceae. The record is from RNAcentral.